GCCACCAGUCUACUACGAGCCGGAGUACGGCUCCAGGCCAGUCCCAGUCUGAUUAUUGAGUCGAGUUUGGCGAUUUGACAUCAGCUACGGGUUCGAAGAUUGCUGCAAGCAACGACGUUGUGUUCGAGCAGAUCCCGUUGGUGCAGAGAGAGGUGGAACUUGAAGUGUUCAGUGAAAGCAGUGUUGUUCAAAGAGAGAAAGUACAUCCAUGUACACUACAACAUGAACCCCAUGCAAGUGAAGUUGAGAUUCAAGCAGGUCAACCCUGAGGAAGAAAACGUCAGAUGGUAUGUUUUGCUGACAUAGAGGCAGAGUCUGACUCCUCUCAUUGCUCUGAAGCUGUAUCAUGUACGUGUAGAAGGAACUUCAGCAAAAAGCGAAAUGCAGCCUGUCUGGAAUUAGCGGCAAUACUGAGAAUGAAAUGCUGCAGAAGUUAUUGUCUUCAUAAGAUAUAAAGAAUAGAUGCAAGGCCCGCAGAGGAUUUCAGAACAAGACUCUAGCAGAUCAGAGGCUAUGGAUUUUGCAGUACCUUAUUGAACAUCACAACUUUGUAAACAUGGAUGGAGACUCAUCCUUGGGAUUACUAUGACCCGCUUAUGGAAGAUGGAGUCAGGGUUAGCAGAAGGAUUGGUGACAUCUCGUCCAUCAAAUCACCAUCGUAAAGGACUUUGUUCUUUGUCUGUGAUGAUGUCAAUGGUGUGGCUGAGUGAAUUUGUCGAUAAGUUUGGAGAGAAACUGCCAACCAACAACAAAAUCCAUCUUCUUCAUGCCUUAUACAUGGAAAUGUGUAUCGGAUUAUGAAAGAGGAAGUAGAAGAGCAAGGAGGUUCUGUUUGUAGUCAGCAAUACUUCUUCCGCAAAUGGAGAAUGGAAAUGUCUCAUGUUACCAUUCCAAAGGUGAACCGGUUUUUGAAAUGCGACAUAUGCACCAAACUGAAAUCUUGCCUAGAGAAGACAACUGGCAGAGAAGAGAGACAAACUUUACUGCAAGAAAGAGAGUCACACCUUUUCCAGCAAAAGUCCAUCUAGGUACUAAGCAGAAAAGGCCUCAACAUCCAUUAUUAAAACUGGGAGAUAUGGUUGCAGUCUACUUAGAAGAGUUCAGUAAUGAGUGGCCGCGAGUGAGAAAAGU
Molecule: long non-coding RNA, 1131 nt
Organism: Lytechinus variegatus (green sea urchin)
Lineage: Eukaryota; Metazoa; Echinodermata; Echinoidea; Temnopleuroida; Toxopneustidae
Exons: 7
Source: RefSeq, a predicted model, not a curated record